GUCGAGCGGUAGCACAGAGAGCUUGCUCUCGGGUGACGAGCGGCGGACGGGUGAGUAAUGUCUGGGAAACUGCCUGAUGGAGGGGGAUAACUACUGGAAACGGUAGCUAAUACCGCAUAACGUCGCAAGACCAAAGUGGGGGACCUUCGGGCCUCAUGCCAUCAGAUGUGCCCAGAUGGGAUUAGCUAGUAGGUGGGGUAACGGCUCACCUAGGCGACGAUCCCUAGCUGGUCUGAGAGGAUGACCAGCCACACUGGAACUGAGACACGGUCCAGACUCCUACGGGAGGCAGCAGUGGGGAAUAUUGCACAAUGGGCGCAAGCCUGAUGCAGCCAUGCCGCGUGUGUGAAGAAGGCCUUCGGGUUGUAAAGCACUUUCAGCGGGGAGGAAGGCGGUGAGGUUAAUAACCUCAUCGAUUGACGUUACCCGCAGAAGAAGCACCGGCUAACUCCGUGCCAGCAGCCGCGGUAAUACGGAGGGUGCAAGCGUUAAUCGGAAUUACUGGGCGUAAAGCGCACGCAGGCGGUCUGUCAAGUCGGAUGUGAAAUCCCCGGGCUCAACCUGGGAACUGCAUUCGAAACUGGCAGGCUAGAGUCUUGUAGAGGGGGGUAGAAUUCCAGGUGUAGCGGUGAAAUGCGUAGAGAUCUGGAGGAAUACCGGUGGCGAAGGCGGCCCCCUGGACAAAGACUGACGCUCAGGUGCGAAAGCGUGGGGAGCAAACAGGAUUAGAUACCCUGGUAGUCCACGCCGUAAACGAUGUCGAUUUGGAGGUUGUGCCCUUGAGGCGUGGCUUCCGGAGCUAACGCGUUAAAUCGACCGCCUGGGGAGUACGGCCGCAAGGUUAAAACUCAAAUGAAUUGACGGGGGCCCGCACAAGCGGUGGAGCAUGUGGUUUAAUUCGAUGCAACGCGAAGAACCUUACCUGGUCUUGACAUCCACAGAACUUUCCAGAGAUGGAUUGGUGCCUUCGGGAACUGUGAGACAGGUGCUGCAUGGCUGUCGUCAGCUCGUGUUGUGAAAUGUUGGGUUAAGUCCCGCAACGAGCGCAACCCUUAUCCUUUGUUGCCAGCGGUCCGGCCGGGAACUCAAAGGAGACUGCCAGUGAUAAACUGGAGGAAGGUGGGGAUGACGUCAAGUCAUCAUGGCCCUUACGACCAGGGCUACACACGUGCUACAAUGGCAUAUACAAAGAGAAGCGACCUCGCGAGAGCAAGCGGACCUCAUAAAGUAUGUCGUAGUCCGGAUUGGAGUCUGCAACUCGACUCCAUGAAGUCGGAAUCGCUAGUAAUCGUAGAUCAGAAUGCUACGGUGAAUACGUUCCCGGGCCUUGUACACACCGCCCGUCACACCAUGGGAGUGGGUUGCAAAAGAAGUAGGUAGCUUAACCUUCGGGAGGGCGCUUACCACUUUGUGAUUCAUGACUGGGGUGAAGUCGUAACAAGGUAACCGUAGGGGAACCUGCGGUUGGAUCACCUCCUUACCUUAAAGAA
RNAcentral lists this ribosomal RNA (1490 nucleotides) under Klebsiella pneumoniae. Its description in RNAcentral is "bacterial SSU rRNA". It matches the Rfam family "Bacterial small subunit ribosomal RNA". The record is from RNAcentral. Lineage: Bacteria; Pseudomonadati; Pseudomonadota; Gammaproteobacteria; Enterobacterales; Enterobacteriaceae.